Molecule: unclassified non-coding RNA, 346 nt
Organism: Ochotona princeps (American pika)
Lineage: Eukaryota; Metazoa; Chordata; Mammalia; Lagomorpha; Ochotonidae
Gene: 7SK
Rfam family: 7SK RNA
About the family: 7SK was discovered as an abundant small nuclear RNA in the mid-70s but a possible function has only recently been suggested. Two independent studies have found that 7SK RNA binds the CDK9/cyclin T complex (known as elongation factor P-TEFb).
Source: Ensembl
GGAUGUGAGGGCGAUCUGGCUGCGACAUCUGUCACCCCAUUGAUCGCCAGGGUUGAUUCGGCUGAUCUGGCUGGCUAGGCGGGUGUCCCCUUCCUCCCUCACCGCUCCAUGUGCGUCCCUCCCAAAGCUGCGCGCUUGGUCGAAGAGGACGACCAUCCCCGCUAGAGGAGGACCGGUCUUCGGUCAAGGGUAUACGAGUAGCUGCGCUCCCCUGCUAGAACCUCCAAACAAGCUCUCAAGGAAUUUAAUGUGUCAUGCUGUUACUCUGGAAGAAGAGGUCAUGACAAAGCUGUGAUACACCCUGAUUUGAGAUUCCUAUCCCUGCCAAAGGAUGUAGCAUUUAUCA